Molecule: long non-coding RNA, 1028 nt
Filed under: Heterocephalus glaber (naked mole-rat)
Lineage: Eukaryota; Metazoa; Chordata; Mammalia; Rodentia; Bathyergidae
Description: lncRNA (ENSHGLG00100049617.1)
Source: RNAcentral
AUAAUCACAGAUUGUGUUUCACUCCCUGUGAGGAUAAACUUGCUUUGUUUUCCCCUCUGUGCCUUUAUGAGGCUGCCCAACAGCCCCAGGGCCUCAUCCUUCUAGUCCUGGAUUGUCACUGUGGUGUCUUUGCUGAAAUGUCCCCACCACCUGUGGUAUGACCAGUGGGGAAGGGUAGAUUGGCAGCAGUGGUUGGUAGACUCGGGUUCCUUUUGGGACCCACCAGCAAGCCAGUGGUGUGACUGGGAAGCCACCACCCUGGGGAGCUGGGAGCUCACUGGGCUCAGGAGGAGGCCCAGUUGGCAAGGCACAGCCCCCAGGGCCAUGUGACACUACCUGCAGCCCUGUCUCCUGCUCUCUGGAGGGUGUGCCCUUGGAGCAGAUGAGGAUCUGGCUGAAGUGGACACAGAGCAGUGACUCCAUUUAGUGAAUGCUCCCAACCUGCAAGCCCUCUCCUAAGCACCUUGCUUUGGCCCUUCAAGACCUGACACCUAAGAGCCAGGUGUGGUGGCGCAUACCUGUAGUCCCACCACUUAGGCUGAGGCAGAGGAAUCGCCAAGAGUUUGAGGCCAGCCUGUACUACAUAGUGAGUUCAAGGCCAGCCUAGAAUGUACAGUGAGACUCUGUCUCAAAAAACCAGAAAAAGACCUGAAACCAGAACGUGUUAUGGACGCAUCCGCAGCAUAGUUCAUGCACACCCGGGUGCAAUGUCAGGUUCCCCAAACCUGCAGAGGCUCCUAGGCUGAGAGCCCCACAGGAAGUGCUCAUCAGUGCUCAGUGGGGGACAUGUGGGGCGAGACAGCCCUGUCCUGUCUGGACAGCUUCACCUCACCCAGAGGGUGCCAGAGACCUGCGCAGUCUGAGAACUGGGCGCAAGUUGAAUAAGCAACAUCCCCUGCACCAAGGAAUGGACACAGCAGCUCCGAAAGGACAGCAGGGUAUGAACAGAUCCAGCACCCCCAGAUGGCUGGUGAGUGGGAGAAAGGAUGUUGGAGGGCAGCACCCAUGCCAUGUAUGUAAAAUAAAAC